Non-coding RNA from Solanum lycopersicum (tomato), 2377 nucleotides. The record is from RefSeq and is a predicted model, not a curated record. Lineage: Eukaryota; Viridiplantae; Streptophyta; Magnoliopsida; Solanales; Solanaceae.
CACUUAUUUCACUACACCCGCCAAUUUUUUUAAUUAAUUGUUGAAUUAAAAUAAAAGGUAAAUAUAUCAGAUUAACUAGGUCAAUAUUCAUCACUAUUUGGAACAAGCCUCGUAAGUAUCAUACUUCUCUCUCUUCUCUCUCUGAAGAAGAACGUAAGUUCAUCCAUGGCCUUAACCAUUUUCCCUUGCUUUUCGUUGCAGGAAUCUGCCACCUUCGGGUUUUUUUCUUCAUGAGUUGUACGUUUCUGCAGCUACAGUGGAGAAACUACAAAUUAGUCAUCAUCAAGCUCAACUCAGUACUGCUAAAAAAAGAGGUAAUGUUCCUAUUUCUGUUUUUUCUUUCUUUUUCUUUUUUUUUAACUUUGAUGUACAUCUGUGUGUCGGAAUCUUUUUCCUACUUAAAAAGUAAGUCUUUCCAAUAUUGAAAUAACUUACCUUCAAUUAAAUAUAAUUUGAAGCUACACUUGAAAUGUAGAUGCAUAUUUUGUUUGAAUGUUAUAAUACAACCUGAUGGAGUACAGUUUUUGCAUUUCUUAUCAUCGUAUGAUGUCUUAAUGAAUCUUGUAGCACUUGUUUUCAGUAUAGGCAUAUAAAAUUAUGAAAAUAAAUAGAAAUGUGAGUGACCUGCACAUCUAUUGAUUUAAUGUUCUUGAAUAUGUUAACUUUGAUGUAAUGUUCAAGUUGGUAAUGUUCUGGUUUCUCUUACAAUCUCUGUUCAUUAUUGCUUAUUCAAUUAAAUCAUUCCAUAUGACUAUGUUUUUUAAAUUUAAGGUUUGUAUUGUAAGUUCAGAACGUUGAAAUUUUUUUACUUUAUGGUUUUACUGUAAAAAGAAAUUCAUAAUAAUUUUUCUUUGUUAUGAGUUAAGAGCUUUGAUAACAAGAUCAUUCAUGUUAUAUUCUGCCUCAGUGAACUCUAUCUCAUCCAUUCCUUUCUAGUGUACCAAUGCAAGAAAUGUAUUCUUCUGAACAUAGUUGUGUAGUGGUGGUGUGUAUUCUUCUUGUAAGGCUUUGAGUGUUAACAAUAUAUCUAAGGCUGCUUUUAUAUUUGGAUCUUCAUGUCUACAUUUAACCAUAUAUCCAAGUUCUCUAAAGCUGCUCCUUGUUUUUUCUUAUAAAUAUUAAGCUUUACUAUUGAGUUGCUUAGUUUCUUUAGUGAGGUUAUUGACUUGAUUUUGUUGUCUUUUCAUGCGUUUCACUUGUCUCUUAAUUUUGUAUUUAGUUUCCUUUUUGUCUACACUCAUUUUCAUUUAUGUGUGUAUGAAUCUUGAUUUUUACUCUUCUGUUUGUGCUGUUUAUAAUUAUUUUCAGAUGAUUUAUUCCCCGUAUAUAUGUGCUCUUUAAAUGUUGUGCAUGUAUAGAUAAUUUAGAGUGUUGGACAAGAUUUCCCUUUUAUGUGACUUUCCUAUUAGUCUUUUUUUUUCUGAUUCAUGUUGUAUUUUGUGAUCAUUGCUGAUUCUAGAACUGUGAUUUAGUUCAUACUGGGUUGGUUUGAACAAUAACUUAUCCUCUCAAGAGGGAAUGUUGCAAUGUGUGUUGCUUAGUUUGUUCUGUGAGGUUGUUGUCUUUGACAAAAUAAUAUUAUGUUGUGUAUUUUUUAUAUGAAAUUCAUUACAUCUUGUAAGUGUUUAGAUUUGUCAAAAUUGUUUGACUUUAUUGUCAUGUCUUAUUAUCUUUAGAUUGAGUUUUUAUAUUUUAAAUCUUUUUUUUUCUCUUUUAACUAGUUGUAAUUAUAGGUAAAAUUGGUAUUGUUAAGUAGACAACUAAUUAAGUAUAACGAAAGUUCAAGGAAAACAUUUUAGUUAUGUUGUUGCAUAAAAUAAGAUAGAGCCACUAAUCAGAAUCUUUUUUUUAUAUGUAUUAUCUUGUUAAUUUUGAUUUUGGUGUCAUAUAGGAUAUUCAAUAUUAAAAGGAUAGUGGAGAUAAAAGUUGGAUGGGCAUACGGAGAUCCACCAAUGAGUAUAUCAGUGGGGUGAAUAACUUUCUUGAUAAAGCUUUUGAACUAGAUUCCAAAGGAGAAGAAAUAUUGUGUCCUUGCAAAAAGUGUUCUAAUUGUAGGUGACAUCAAUGGAAUGUUGUAGAUGGUCACUUGAUUGUUUAUGGGUUUGUACAAGGGUACACCAAAUGGAUUUUUCAUGGAGAAAGUAUUUCCUCCAAAAAUAAUCCAUAUCAUAAUAAGGAAGGUUCCAACAUGCGUGACAAUAUUGAUGGCCUACUUUAUGAUACUUUUAGAGAUGUUGCAGCUAAUUUGGGGGUUGAGGGAGUGAGAGAGGGUUUAUCUGAAGAUGUAAAGAAAUUUUGUAAGUUACUGGAGGAAGGUAAACAAGAGUUAUAUCCUGGGUGUAAGAAGUUCUCGAAAUUGAAUUUCACCAUUCGAUUA